Molecule: ribosomal RNA, 780 nt
Filed under: uncultured Neocallimastigales
Lineage: Eukaryota; Fungi; Neocallimastigomycota; Neocallimastigomycetes; Neocallimastigales
Description: partial large subunit ribosomal RNA
Rfam family: Eukaryotic large subunit ribosomal RNA
Source: RNAcentral
UAUCUCUGUAGAGUCUGCAUAUCAAUAAGCGGAGGAAAAGAAACUAACAAGGAUUCCCCUAGUAACGGCGAGUGAAGCGGGAAGAGCUCAAAUUUGAAAUCUUAAAGGGUUUCCCUUUACGAAUUGUAGUUUAAAGAAGUGUUUUCUGUUGAGGUUUUGGUAAAAGUUCUUUGGAAUAGGACAUCAUAGAGGGUGAGAAUCCCGUAUUUGACCAUUACUUUCCAACUUUGUGAUACACUUUCAAAGAGUCGGAUUGUUUGGGAAUGCAGUCCAAAAUGGGUGGUAAAUUUCAUCUAAAGCUAAAUAUUGGCGAGAGACCGAUAGCGAACAAGUACCGUGAGGGAAAGAUGAAAAGAACUUUGAAAAGAGAGUUAAACAGUACGUGAAAUUGUCAAAAGGGAAGCGUUUGACACCAGUGUUGUUUUCUCGAAAAUCAAUUAAAGAAAGCUAGAUUUAUGUAAGUUGUAUUAGACUUUAUCAGCUAUUCUGCCUCUUUUCUUGUCUUUUUUAAUGCACUUUUCAGUUAACAAGUCAACAUCAAUUUCUUUUGUUGUAAAAAGGGUCAUUGGAAGGUGGCUUGCGAUUUCGUAUAAGUGUUUAUAGCCUCUUGCCUAUGCAGUCGGAGAGAUUGAGGUCUGCAGCGUAGAUCCUUCGGGGCUAAAUGCAUUUGUGCUAAGUUAUAGCAUUUUAUAGACAACUUGUUGACUAUGAUUUGUCUUGUAGCUUACUCGCUUAUGUUAUUUUACCUACGCUUAGGAUGUUGACGAUCAGCUGAGCGCG